AUGGCACAAUCAUCCGAUGCGGGUGACGAAGACGAACUUAAAUAUGUAGUCCAUGUUGGUGGCAGCGAUGUAUCAGAAGCCGUCCUGAAGAAACAUUUGGAGAAAUUUGGAGAAGGAGUCCGCGUGACAAUGCAUGAUCGCAAUGGGAAAAGCAAGAAGUUUGCUUAUGUUUAUUGCGAGAAUAAAGAUGUUGCUUCACAGGUUAUUGAACUAUUAAACGAGAUAUAUCCAGAAGGAAAUAAGAUAAAGGCUACUAUCUCCAACCAACAUAAGGAAAAUUCCAGAAAGGAAGAGGAAGAAGUUGAUCUUAAAACUUCAAAGCCCGUCGAAAAGGCUCGUGAAGAUGUCAUAAUACCGUACACCAUCGGGGACAAAGAAGGGCACAUUAAAUUCAUCACGGAGCUGCGUAAGAAGUUGUCCAAGCUCAAGGAGGGUUCUGAUGUCGUGGAUGAGAUCUUUGAGGGCGAUUCAUGUCGUGUCCAAGCUCAAGCUCAUCCACUGCUCGUUGCAAAGCCAAGUGCCAAAAAGGCAGUACGGUGGAUUCAUGUCGAGCUGCGUGCUAUUGAUGAGAAGGACAACACUGGCAGUACGGUAAUGCUGACAACCCUGGCUGUCCGGAAGGACAACUUGUACGUCAAGGGCUUCACGAACGAGGACGGACAGUGGUUUGAGCUUCCAGCCAAUGCUGCUAACGACAACAUGAAGCUCCCGGAAGGUUACAAGGCAAAGGAGCUGAAAGUGUGGGACGUCAGCUACAGGGGACUAAUGAAUCUCAGUAACAAGGAUCAAGUCAAGAAGACACUCAUGUCAACGAGGCUGUGCAAGGCCUUCGCGGUGAGGGCCGUGAGCAGACUCUCGCGCUACCGAAUUGGGAAUGAAAAUGACCUUCCGGAGAAAAAAAUUGAUGAAAACCUCACCAGGCUGUCACUAGCGGGCCUGAUGGUGAUGAUCUGCGAGGCCGCAAGGAUGAAUCCUUUCCUCGACACCAUUGUAGGUGGCUGGGACGGGGGAACGGGACUCACCUCGCGGCUGUUGGAUAUCAUGUGGGAUUGGGGAAGCAUGUCAGCCGCACUGCUCAAGUGGAAGAAGACUGGUAAAUGGCCCAUCAAAUGCAGACAUGGUCUAGGCACUGCAUUAGCGUCCAUUAACCUUGUGCUUGACUCCACUGAUGUUACGGGCUCUGGACCAACCUGGGUGGAGAUUUUUGCCAUCUCUUCCAACUUCCCCGUUAUUAGCAUCACGGUCAUCGAUGAGGGAAAACGCAAAAAUACAAUCUACUAUAAGCAGAAGACGGAACAAAUUCACGAGGGGCAAACACAACAGGGAAUUGUACCUUUGAAGUUGACAGAUAAAGGCAGACGCAUUUCAGGGUAUGAAUAUUUCGGCAUGGAAGUUGUCCUCCCACCGUGGGAAAGCAGUGGUGAUAGCAUCACAAAGAAGUUUAAAUGGGAUUGCCGCAAACAGGAUGUAGACACCACCGAAGUUGUAGCCCACACUAUCAAUUUAGACCAUGGGCGCAAGAUUGUUGUCACUUAUUUGGUGAUGAAUAACUUAGUAGAGGCGAAGGUGGAGGUGAAGCUGCCGCUCAUAGGCGAGUCACCUAAAUAUUGGCGACCUAAUGACUUAGCUCACAGGGGAACAGACAAGAUCAGAGGCAAGAAGUACACUGUUCAUGGUGAAAUCAUUGCGCAGAUUGAUGGCUUUGAAGACAACCCGAUUGUGCUCUUCAGAACUGAAGGGGAGCAGGAGUUCCCCCGUGACCUUGAGACGUCCAUCCUGAUGCAAUCUUCCGUUUCUGUGCCAUCUGGUAAACGGCUUCAUAUCGACAUGGCGGCCCUGGAUAUUAAAGAAGCUCCUGGGGACCGGCCUGUCAAGAAAGCUAGUAGGCUCAGCUACGACUGUGGAAGAUCAAGACGGACUUCCCUUGCACAAGAUCAAGGUGAUGCCAAUAUUGAAGUUGAAGUUGAAGUGAACGUCACCUGGCCUGCUCAAGAGGAGACGGUGGAGAGAGAACCAGACGUUGUGUUCAUCAUUGGGGAUAGAGAAAAGUUCACUUCAUCCAUCGAGGAGCUGCGUGGCGUGCUCAUGCGCCAUGAACACCCCGAGGAUGCCUUGCAUGGCUGCAAAGACAAAGUGCUCCUCGACACCGGUAAACACCCAGUGCUCGCCAGACGACGCCAUUCUCAACAGCCACCGCGGUGGAUACACGUCAAGCUGGAAGUGGUGGCUGGCGAGGAGACGUCGUCCACGACCCUAGCCAUCCGGGAUGAUGAAUGCUGUGCAGCUGGAUUCAUGAACCAGAACGGAGUUUGGUACGAUCUUGCCCCACACUACCCUUGGCGGCGCAGCGGCGACAAGCAACUCCCACCAGAAUACAACUCUGUACGCCUAGACUGGGACUACCGCUUGUGGUCUGACGUCGCCCAGUAUGAACUUAUCCACGAGAGGCUGGGCAGAAUUUGCCUGGGCCAGGAAUCCGCUAGGGCCGCCGUGCGCAUGAUGUCACGAUACCCGGAUGUGGAGGAGCAUGAGGAACCCAUGCUAGCACUGGCACAACUGAUCAUCAUGGUAUGCGAAUCCGCAAGAUUCAAUCCUAUUUCUGAAUCCAUUGCGACUGGCUGGGAUACAAGGAUAGAAUGCCCCAAGGAACUGUAUGAGUACACCCGGAUCUGGCGUCAGAUAUCAGUGGCCCUGCUCCGCUGGAAGGAUCAUGGCCACAACAGCAACAGAUGGCCACAACAGCAACAUUCGGAAAUGGGAAUCAAUUGCCCAGUAGAUGCACUACGUAUCGUUUACCUCCUGUUCAACAGCGACGAUCGUACAAAACAGAUCUACAUGCAGUACACCAUCAAGGAAAAAGCAGGGUUCAGUACAUUCAUCGAGCAACUGCGUGAUGUGCUCGCCCGUCAUGAUCACCAGGAGGGUAUCUUGGAUGGCCACCCGAACCGUAAGUCUGACUCCGACUUAAACAACCGAGCUCUACUACAUGAAUGCCCAGCGCGGUUGAUUCACAUCAAGCUACAACUGGUGGGGGAGGAAACGUCGACUACCCUAGCCGUCCGAGAUAACGACGUGCACCUACUUGGCUUCAUGAACCAUGAGGGAGUUUGGUACGAGGCAUGGGACCGGUUCAAGGGCGACAGACUCGGAGCAGAAUUCAACCCCAAAUCGCUAAUGUGGGGUUCCUACAAACACAUGCUACCGCGCUUAAAUGUGGGCCUACUACGGUUCUUAAGUUUAAGCAACGACGAUGGAGACGUCAGCCGCCCCAAACUACACUUGAGUGACUGGGAUAAAGUCAGAAAGAAACUGGGCACCGAGCGCCUGGGCAAGGACUUUGCGGUGGAGGCCGUGCGCAUGCUGUCGCGCUACCCAGUCGUGGAGAAGGGUGAGUGCCCCAGGCUGGCACUGGCAGGCCUCAUCAUCAUGUUCUGCGAAUCCGCAAGGCUCGAUCCUGUCCAUGAGCACAUUGCAAAUGUGUGGGAGGACGACAACGGUACUGGAUUCCCCAAGGAGGUAAUGGAGCAAGUACAGGGAUUGGACAUGAUAUCAGAUACUUUGCUGAUAUGGAAGGAUACAGGCUACCACCGGUGGCCUCAAGAUAAUGAUAACCGCGCCAGCAUAAGGGAAAUUUGUGUCAGGGAUUGGCUGCACGGCAUAGGAAUCCGUACCCCAAAAGAUGCACUAGAUGUGGUUCACCUCGUGCCCGCCUGUAUGAUGGAAUGGGACGAUGAACCUUGCCCGUGGCCCUAG
RNAcentral lists this ribosomal RNA (3753 nucleotides) under Triticum aestivum (bread wheat). RNAcentral describes it as "partial small subunit ribosomal RNA". The record is from RNAcentral. Lineage: Eukaryota; Viridiplantae; Streptophyta; Magnoliopsida; Poales; Poaceae.